This 449-nucleotide ribosomal RNA is filed under the name uncultured bacterium. RNAcentral's name for it is "partial 16S ribosomal RNA". It matches the Rfam family "Bacterial small subunit ribosomal RNA", at positions 29 to 523 of the family's 1533-position model. The record is from RNAcentral.
AACGAACGCUGGCGGCAUGCCUAACACAUGCAAGUCGAACGAGAUCUUCGGGUCUAGUGGCGCACGGGUGCGUAACGCGUGGGAAUCUGCCCUUUGGUUCGGAAUAACAGUUGGAAACGACUGCUAAUACCGGAUGAUGACGAAAGUCCAAAAAGUUAUCGCCAGAGGAUGAGCCCGCGUAGGAUUAGCUAGUUGGUGUGGUAAAGGCGCACCAAGGCGACGAUCCUUAGCUGGUCUGAGAGGAUGAUCAGCCACACUGGGACUGAGACACGGCCCAGACUCCUACGGGAGGCAGCAGUGGGGAAUAUUGGACAAUGGGCGAAAGCCUGAUCCAGCAAUGCCGCGUGAGUGAUGAAGGCCUUAGGGUUGUAAAGCUCUUUUACCCGGGAUGAUAAUGACAGUACCGGGAGAAUAAGCUCCGGCUAACUCCGUGCCAGCAGCCGCCGUAA